GGGAACGCCGAACGGAUGACAGUCACCGAGAGAGUUUCAAUGGUGAUGUUAAACAAAUGCACCCGACAAAUAGCCUGACAGUUUUCAAGCCUCCUCGCAGCAGACCCAUCUCUCUCUCAGCUCCUUCCUAGCAGCAGACCUACUCCUGCAGACUCUCUCUCUCUCUCUCUACGUGAAGGCCUCCUCGAAAUAGACCCUACUCUCUGUCUCUACGCGAAGGGUUUUACCUGGAUCGAGCGAAGGCCUUUCUCUCCCUCUCACUCUCUCAUCUCUUCAUUGAGGCCUCCUCACAGCAGACCCUACUCUCUCUCUCUCUCUCUACGUGAAGGGUUUCACUUGGAUCGCAAGAAGGCCUUUCUCUCCAUCUCUCUUUCUUAGCUCGCUCCUCACAUGCCUCCUCGCAGCAGACCCUACUCUCUCUCUAUGUGAAGGGUUUCAAACUGUCAUUGGGUUUCACCUGGAUUGGAAAAACUGAGAAAUCAGGGAAAUCUGAGAUACAAAGAAAAAAGGAAAACUCCCUCCUCGCAAGCUACCAUCAAGAGCAGAGUCUCUCUCUCUUGAUUGUAGGGCUUUCUCUCCCUGGAUUGCAGGCCUCUCUCAGAAGAAAGCCCUCUCUCUCGCAGGCCUCUGGAUCGCAAACGAGGGCCUUUGCAUCUCAUUUUUUCGCCCUAAUCGAUUGAUGUAAACCCCUCAAACUGAAAGCGUUACAAAUUGGCUUCCUAGGAGGCAUUCAAGACCCAACAGAACUUGAGAAGGGCAUCAACAUGAUACCUAGACUCGUCAAGAAUGGUUUGUGUGCAUCAGAGAGAGAGAGAGAGGGAGAGAGAGACUUCAUUCUUGGCCUUUGAUUUUAAUGUCUGUAAUUCUUGUUCACAAUGGGGAUCUUUUAUCGUUUGGCAAUUGUCGCUGGUGUGGCAACAUUGCUGCUGAUCGUCAUUCAAGAUGGAGUUGAUGCCACUGUCAUGGACUUAACUGAGUUUAGGAAAGUUUUGGACAGUCAGAUGCAUGGAAAUUCACCUGUCCAAUUUGUUCUUUCUUUUGAUUGGUGAAGGAGGUAUGCAGAUUUGUAACUUAUGGUGCAGGACUCAGCAGCCUAAACAAUUAGAUACUAAGAAGCUACAACCCAGAAACAAUAGGUUUAUGGAAAAGAAUUUCUCAUUUAUUAUCUUCUUCUAUGGAUUUUUAAUAAUGGUUGGAUUCUUCUUUGGAGUUAAACUUAGAAAGUGUAAAUUUUAUUUUCUUAUGUAAAUUUUAUUUUGGUGAUAUUUUAUCCUUA
Amborella trichopoda is the source of this 1276-nucleotide long non-coding RNA. RefSeq lists it as uncharacterized. The record is from RefSeq and is a predicted model, not a curated record. Lineage: Eukaryota; Viridiplantae; Streptophyta; Magnoliopsida; Amborellales; Amborellaceae.